RNAcentral lists this ribosomal RNA (1475 nucleotides) under uncultured Planctomycetota bacterium. RNAcentral describes it as "uncultured planctomycete 16S ribosomal RNA". It matches the Rfam family "Bacterial small subunit ribosomal RNA". The record is from RNAcentral. Lineage: Bacteria; Pseudomonadati; Planctomycetota.
AGAGUUUGAUCAUGGCUCAGAUUGAACGCUGACAACAUAACUAAAGCAUGCAAGUCGAACGCGAAACUGACUUCAGCCAGGAGUAGAGUGGCGAACGGGCAAAUAAUGCGUUUCUAACGUGCCCCGAGGUCAGGGAUAGCCCAGGGAAACUUGGAUUAAUACCUGAUGAUCCCACUAGGCCGCAUAACCCUGUGGACAAAGUUACGGCGCCUUGGGAUCGGGAAACGUCCUAUCAUGCUUGUUGGUGAGGUAACGGCUCACCAAGGCUAAGACGGGUAGCGGGUGUGAGAGCAUGACCCGCCGCAUCGGGACUAAAACACUGCCCGGACUCCUACGGGAGGCUGCAGCAACGAAUAUUCCCCAAUGAGCGCAAGCUUGAGGGAGCAAUGCCGCAUAAAGGAUGAAGCUCCUCGGAGUGUAAACUUCUGUCAGGGACCAGAAAGAUAUGAUCGGUCCCAGAGGAAGGGCCGGCUAACUUCGUGCCAGCAGCCGCGGUAAUACGAAGGGCCCGAGCGUUAAUCGGAAUCACUGAACUUAAAGGAUGCGCAGGCAAACCUGUAAGUGUCUUGUGAAAUCCCAUGGCUCAACCAUGGAAUUGCUUGGCAAACUACAGGUCUUGAGCCCGACAGAGGUCGUCGGAACGCUAGGUGGAGCGGUGAAAUGCGUAGAUAUCUAGCGGAACGCCAAAGGUGAAGACAGGCGACUAAGUCGGCGCUGACGCUCAGGCACGAAAGCGUGGGUAGCGAACGGGAUUAGAUACCCCGGUAGUCCACACCCUAAACGAUGUGUGCUAGGUCGAGGAAGUUUUGACGCCAUCUCGGCCGCAACGAAAGCAUUAAGCACACCGCCUGGGGAGUACGGUCGCAAGACUAAAACUCAAAGGAAUUGACGGGGGCUCACACAAGCGGUGGAGCAUGUGGCUUAAUUCGAAGCAACGCGAAGAACCUUAUCCAGGGCUUGACAUGUACGGAUUAGCUUCCCGAAAAGGAAGUGACGCGCUUGCGUGGAACGUACACAAAUACUGCAUGGCUGUCGUCAGCUCAUGCUAUAAAGUAUCGGGUUAAGUCCCUUAACGAACAAAACCCCUGCCGUUAGUUGCUAACAAAUUAUACUGAGGACUCUAACGGGACUGCCGGUGUCAAACCGGAGGAAGGUGGGGACGACGUCAAGUCAUCAUGGCCUUUAUGCCCUGGGCUGCACACAUACUACAAUGGUACGGACAAAACGAAGCGAUACCGUAAGGUGGAGCAAAUCGUAAAAACCGUGCCCCAGUUCAAAUUGUGGUCUGCAACUCGACCACAUGAAGGUGGAAUCGCUAGUAAUCGCGGAUCAGCAAUGCCGCGGUGAAUGUGUUCCUGAGCCUUGUACACACCGCCCAUCACGUCAUGGAAGCCGGGAGCACCCGGAGUCGCCACGAUUCAGUAAUACCGACAAUGAGCUCAAUGACUGGGACGAAGUCGUAACAAGGUAGCCGU